RNAcentral lists this long non-coding RNA (272 nucleotides) under Homo sapiens (human). The record is from RNAcentral. Lineage: Eukaryota; Metazoa; Chordata; Mammalia; Primates; Hominidae.
UGCAUGCCUUCAUCCCUCCUCCACUAUGGUCAAAGAGCAGGAUAUCUAACAACAUCUUACAUCUAUGCAACCCUUGCUCAGUUGCAAUGUGCUUUCAUUUGUAUUAUUUUAUUUAGUCCUCCCAACAGCCCUGUGGGUUCAGUGGCAUUCUUCCAGUUUUAUCGAUCAGUAAGCCAAGGCUCAGACUAUCAUUUCAGAGCCAGUUAUCUCCCAGUUGGGUCUCCAAGAGGCACCAAGAAGCCAAGUGCUUUUCCUUGACUUCUUGCAAUAGC